Molecule: long non-coding RNA, 971 nt
Organism: Alnus glutinosa
Lineage: Eukaryota; Viridiplantae; Streptophyta; Magnoliopsida; Fagales; Betulaceae
Exons: 3
Source: RefSeq, a predicted model, not a curated record
CGCAACCCGCAUCAUCUUCUUCUCUUUCCUCUAAAUUCUCUCGAUAUGCAGCACCCCUUAUCUUCUCUGCAGAAAAUCUUUAUGUUUCCUCAGUUCUUCUUUCAUUCCAGCAAAUACCCACAAAAAAAUAGAAGUCCUCUUCCUCUUUCGUUUUCGGCUAACAGCAAAGGCAAGAAGAAGAUAGCACUCAAACCAUUUCCUUCCCAUUCGGACAGCAGCAAAGCUGCAGUACGACUUUCCAUUCCUUACCGCCUCUUCAUCUUCUUCUGCAGAAAAACAGAACAGAAAAGGGGAAGAAAAUCCCUUCUCUCUGCCACGGCCAGUAGCCAUAGAAGCCUCUCUCCUUUUCUUUCUCAGUCGGUCUACACCCAAAAUAGAGCAACAGCUCCUUCCUUCUUGAAGCUGCAGAAAAAUCCUCAAAGCAAAAUCAAACCUUUUGCUCUCUCUCUCACACCGUAAAUCUCUCCCUCAAGUCCCUUGUUUUCCUUUCCCUGGGUGUGUGCGUGUAUGUGUAAGAAAACAAAAGAAAGGAGAAGAAGUGUGUGUUCGGUAGGUGUAAGGAAAAGAUAAAAGAAAAGAGACUAAAGGAGAAAAGAAAAAGACAAGAAGAAAAGCACUUUAGAUGGACCCACUUUCCGCUCUCUCCCGUAAAAGUUCGACCCUGAUACUAAUGGAAAGUCCAGAUGACAACCGUAAGACGAAGUCUUUUUCUUGUAAGGGCGUAGACCUCGCUGAGAGCGAUUGUUCGUGAUGAACCAGCCAAACCCUAAUAUUGUAUAGUAUGAUUUGUUCCUUUUGGAGUUCAUGAUUUUGUAUAGAUUUAUAAAUAGAAAGGUUUAAGAGAGUAGAAGUUUUAAAUUUUUAGUUGUAAAUGCACGCUUUUAUUUAAAAUGUUUGUUUUUAGCACUUAAACUCACGUUUCCCUUAUAUCCCAAAACGGGGGCGUGACAGCCAUUAACGAGGUAGUAUCU